RNAcentral lists this ribosomal RNA (397 nucleotides) under uncultured bacterium. Its description in RNAcentral is "bacterial SSU rRNA". It matches the Rfam family "Bacterial small subunit ribosomal RNA", at positions 30 to 427 of the family's 1533-position model. The record is from RNAcentral.
AUUGAACGCUGGCGGCAUGCCUUACACAUGCAAGUCGAACGGCAGCACGGACUUCGGUCUGGUGGCGAGUGGCGAACGGGUGAGUAAUGCAUCGGAACGUGCCAUUGAGUGGGGGAUAACGUAGCGAAAGUUGCGCUAAUACCGCAUAUUCUGUGAGCAGGAAAGCAGGGGACCGCAAGGCCUUGCGCUCUUUGAGCGGCCGAUGUCAGAUUAGCUAGUUGGUGAGGUAAAGGCUUACCAAGGCGACGAUCUGUAGCGGGUCUGAGAGGAUGAUCCGCACACUGGAACUGAGACACGGUCCAGACUCCUACGGGAGGCAGCAGUGGGGAAUUUUGGACAAUGGGGGCAACCCUGAUCCAGCCAUGCCGCGUCGAGUGAAGAAGGCCUUCGGGUUGGU